GAAUCCAUAUAUAUGUUCCUUGCUAUAUGCGUGGUUCGCCUUCCGUGCUCUUAAUGCUUACCAUUCACAAAUCACAACCAACCCCUUCAAUUCAUUCAUUUUCUCUUCCUUACUUGUUUCCCUUAUCUCUCACUCCCCACACAUAUUUAAUCAUCCUACACCCUUUAUUCCUCCACACUAAGUAUCUUUCACUUUCAUUUUUUGUGCAUUCUUCUCUUUCAAAACAAGUGCAACAAGAAUUAAUCAGCAAAGAUGGUGAUGAUGGGUCUUGGAAGGCUGGUGGUGAGUCUAAAAUCCAAAAUAAGGUCUUUGAAACUGAAGAAACCUUACUAUGAUAAGAUGGAGAAGAGUGAGAGCAUGAGAGUAGAGAUAAGAAGCAAAAAGGCCAGAAAGCUUAUUGAAGAGACCCUCAAAAUUGCUGAUUCACCAAAGUCUAGAACCUUCACCCUAUGAUGCUAUUAUGCACAUGCUACCUUACAAUGUUCAGUGUAUGUACUAGUAAAAAACUCUUCACUAAUUAAUUAUGGUUCUGUUCUUUUAUAUAGUUUCUGUUUGAAUUUCAACGAGGUACUCUAAUUAGUCAGCUUUAUCUCUCAUGCAUCCCACCAAGAACUCAAAGGCCACCAUGUGCUAAUUAUGUUGUGUAUAAGUCUAGAACUUUGUUCUAAUCUUAGAUUGGUGUGAAGCAUGCAAGGACUUUGAAGAA
Molecule: non-coding RNA, 706 nt
Organism: Cajanus cajan (pigeon pea)
Lineage: Eukaryota; Viridiplantae; Streptophyta; Magnoliopsida; Fabales; Fabaceae
Source: RefSeq, a predicted model, not a curated record